CAGCAGCCACGGGAAUACGGAGGGUGCAAGCGUUAAUCGGAAUUACUGGGCGUAAAGCGCACGCAGGCGGUCUGACAAGUCAGAUGUGAAAUCCCCGGGCUUAACCUGGGAACUGCAUUUGAAACUGUCAGGCUGGAGUCUUGUAGAGGGGGGUAGAAUUCCAGGUGUAGCGGUGAAAUGCGUAGAGAUCUGGAGGAAUACCGGUGGCGAAGGCGGCCCCCUGGACAAAGACUGACGCUCAGGUGCGAAAGCGUGGGGAGCAAACAGGAUUAGAGACCCCUGUAGUCCCUGUCUCUUAUAC
This 301-nucleotide ribosomal RNA is filed under the name uncultured bacterium. RNAcentral describes it as "partial 16S ribosomal RNA". It matches the Rfam family "Bacterial small subunit ribosomal RNA", at positions 509 to 807 of the family's 1533-position model. The record is from RNAcentral.